GAUGAACGUUGGCGGCGUGCCUAAUACAUGCAAGUCGAGCGAACAGACGAGGAGCUUGCUCCUUUGAUGUUAGCGGCGGACGGGUGAGUAACACGUGGGUAACCUACCUAUAAGACUGGGAUAACUUCGGGAAACCGGAGCUAAUACCGGAUAAUAUUUCGAACCGCAUGGUUCGAUAGUGAAAGAUGGCUUUGCUAUCACUUAUAGAUGGACCUGCGCCGUAUUAGCUAGUUGGUAAGGUAACGGCUUACCAAGGCAACGAUACGUAGCCGACCUGAGAGGGUGAUCGGCCACACUGGAACUGAGACACGGUCCAGACUCCUACGGGAGGCAGCAGUAGGGAAUCUUCCGCAAUGGGCGAAAGCCUGACGGAGCAACGCCGCGUGAGUGAUGAAGGUCUUCGGAUCGUAAAACUCUGUUAUUAGGGAAGAACAAACGUGUAAGUAACUGUGCACGUCUUGACGGUACCUAAUCAGAAAGCCACGGCUAACUACGUGCCAGCAGCCGCGGUAAUACGUAGGUGGCAAGCGUUAUCCGGAAUUAUUGGGCGUAAAGCGCGCGUAGGCGGUUUUUUAAGUCUGAUGUGAAAGCCCACGGCUCAACCGUGGAGGGUCAUUGGAAACUGGAAAACUUGAGUGCAGAAGAGGAAAGUGGAAUUCCAUGUGUAGCGGUGAAAUGCGCAGAGAUAUGGAGGAACACCAGUGGCGAAGGCGACUUUCUGGUCUGUAACUGACGCUGAUGUGCGAAAGCGUGGGGAUCAAACAGGAUUAGAUACCCUGGUAGUCCACGCCGUAAACGAUGAGUGCUAAGUGUUAGGGGGUUUCCGCCCCUUAGUGCUGCAGCUAACGCAUUAAGCACUCCGCCUGGGGAGUACGACCGCAAGGUUGAAACUCAAAGGAAUUGACGGGGACCCGCACAAGCGGUGGAGCAUGUGGUUUGAUUCGAAGCAACGCGAAGAACCUUACCAAAUCUUGACAUCCUUUGACCCUUCUAGAGAUAGAAGUUUCCCCUUCGGGGGACAAAGUGACAGGUGGUGCAUGGUUGUCGUCAGCUCGUGUCGUGAGAUGUUGGGUUAAGUCCCGCAACGAGCGCAACCCUUAAGCUUAGUUGCCAUCAUUAAGUUGGGCACUCUAAGUUGACUGCCGGUGACAAACCGGAGGAAGGUGGGGAUGACGUCAAAUCAUCAUGCCCCUUAUGAUUUGGGCUACACACGUGCUACAAUGGACAAUACAAAGGGCAGCGAAACCGCGAGGUCAAGCAAAUCCCAUAAAGUUGUUCUCAGUUCGGAUUGUAGUCUGCAACUCGACUACAUGAAGCUGGAAUCGCUAGUAAUCGUAGAUCAGCAUGCUACGGUGAAUACGUUCCCGGGUCU
Molecule: ribosomal RNA, 1372 nt
Filed under: uncultured bacterium
Lineage: Bacteria
Description: bacterial SSU rRNA
Rfam family: Bacterial small subunit ribosomal RNA
Source: RNAcentral